Molecule: long non-coding RNA, 232 nt
Organism: Otolemur garnettii (small-eared galago)
Lineage: Eukaryota; Metazoa; Chordata; Mammalia; Primates; Galagidae
Exons: 3
Source: RefSeq, a predicted model, not a curated record
UUUGUGGUCUGGGUCAAUUGCAGGAAGCUCUCAGCUGGGCCAUUGUCCUUUAGUUUAUGCUAAGAUAAAGUUAUCCAAACAAUGUACCAUCCUAUGGCUUUCUUGAAUAUGGUGCUUGAAUGACUAUUUUGAAGAAGAAAUCGGGGGAAGAGGAAGGAGAGAAGAGAAAACCUGCCUCUGAGUGCAAUGAACACCAUUCGGGCGAUGGGCACACUUACAGCCCUGACUCAAG